CCUACGUGCGGCAGCAGUGGGGAAUAUUGGACAAUGGGCGAAAGCCUGAUCCAGCCAUGCCGCGUGUGUGAAGAAGGCCUUCGGGUUGUAAAGCACUUUCAGUGGGGAAGAAAGCCUUGGGGCUAAUACCCUCGAGGAAGGACAUCACCCACAGAAGAAGCACCGGCUAACUCCGUGCCAGCAGCCGCGGUAAUACGGAGGGUGCGAGCGUUAAUCGGAAUUACUGGGCGUAAAGCGCGCGUAGGCGGUCUGAUAAGCCGGUUGUGAAAGCCCCGGGCUCAACCUGGGAACGGCAUCCGGAACUGUCAGGCUAGAGUGCAGGAGAGGAAGGUAGAAUUCCCGGUGUAGCGGUGAAAUGCGUAGAGAUCGGGAGGAAUACCAGUGGCGAAGGCGGCCUUCUGGACUGACACUGACGCUGAGGUGCGAAAGCGUGGGUAGCAAACAGGAUUAGAUACCCGGGUAGUC
This 465-nucleotide ribosomal RNA is filed under the name Vreelandella stevensii. RNAcentral's name for it is "partial 16S ribosomal RNA". It matches the Rfam family "Bacterial small subunit ribosomal RNA", at positions 338 to 795 of the family's 1533-position model. The record is from RNAcentral. Lineage: Bacteria; Pseudomonadati; Pseudomonadota; Gammaproteobacteria; Oceanospirillales; Halomonadaceae.